UUUUCGAUAGGUGAAGAACUCUGGAAUGAGUCUUCGCUCAAAAGCCAUUUAGAUCAUGCUUCUAGAUGGUGCCCAAGGAUAGGGCCGCGACCGAUCAGGUUGUUGGUGAGGUAAUGGCCCACCAAGCCUAUAACCGGUGCGGGCCGUGAGAGCGGGAGCCCGGAGAUGGGCACUGAGACAAGGGCCCAGGUCCUACGGGGCGCAGCAGUCGCGAAAACUUUGCAAUACACGAAAGUGUGACAGGGUCAUCCCGAGUGCCGACCGCUGAGGUUGGCUUUUACCCAGUCUAGAAAGCUGGGGGAAUAAGGAGAGGGCAAGUCUGGUGUCAGCCGCCGCGGUAAUACCAGCUCUCCGAGUGGUGUGGACGUUUAUUGGGCCUAAAGCAUCCGUAGCUGGCUGGACAAGUCCCCUGUUAAACCCACCGAUUUAAUCGUUGGUCUGCGGGGGAUACUGCUCGGCUAGGGGACGAGAGAGGCAGACGGUAUUCCCGGGGUAGGGGUGAAAUCCUAUAAUCCCGAGAAGACCACCAGUGGCGAAGGCUGUCUGCUAGAGCGCGCCCGACGGUGAGGGAUGAAAGCUGGGGGAGCGAACCGGAUUAGAUACCCGGGUAGUCCCAGCUGUAAACGAUGCAGACUAGGUGUUUGGACGGCCACGUGCCGUUCUAGUGCCGCAGGGAAGCUGUUAAGUCUGCCGCCUGGGGAGUA
RNAcentral lists this ribosomal RNA (704 nucleotides) under uncultured archaeon. RNAcentral describes it as "bacterial SSU rRNA". It matches the Rfam family "Archaeal small subunit ribosomal RNA", at positions 150 to 837 of the family's 1478-position model. The record is from RNAcentral.